CAGAUCCCAAAACUUCCAAGCCACGAGGAGACAACUUUGGAUUCAAUCUGGACGACGCCCUGGAGCCCGCUUCACAGUCCACCGCUGCACCCAGCGGAGGAGAGUGCCAGAAAAACCUGAUCCAGAAACUGACCUCCGUCCUGGAGAAUCAGAACCGGCAGCUUCGCCUGCUGCUGCAGCUCACGUCUGGAUCUCGCUCUCGCUCUCCGUCUGCGUGGCGAAUGCGCUGAGAGACGUGGGAAGACGUGUGAGUGGGAAGGAAAUUUGAGGUGACUUUGAGGUCAAUUUUAAAAUCUGUUUUUUACAACUAUAUUAUAGCUUAUUUAAAAUAAUUAAA
Plectropomus leopardus (leopard coralgrouper) is the source of this 337-nucleotide non-coding RNA. NCBI's taxonomy places the organism in Eukaryota, Metazoa, Chordata, Actinopteri, Perciformes, Serranidae. The record is from RefSeq and is a predicted model, not a curated record.